Molecule: transfer RNA, 69 nt
Filed under: Crassostrea sp. DB1
Lineage: Eukaryota; Metazoa; Mollusca; Bivalvia; Ostreida; Ostreidae
Description: tRNA-Pro
Source: RNAcentral
CUAAAGCUAGUUUAAUUAAAAAUAAGCGUUUUGGGAACGCUAGUCCCUUAUUUGCUUAAGGGCUUUAGA